RNAcentral lists this ribosomal RNA (375 nucleotides) under uncultured bacterium. Its description in RNAcentral is "bacterial SSU rRNA". It matches the Rfam family "Bacterial small subunit ribosomal RNA", at positions 29 to 430 of the family's 1533-position model. The record is from RNAcentral.
AACGAACGCUGGCGGCAGGCUUAACACAUGCAAGUCGAACGGGUGUAGCAAUACACCAGUGGCAGACGGGUGAGUAACACGUGGGAACCUUCCUCGUAGUACGGAACAACUCAGGGAAACUUGUGCUAAUACCGUAUACGUCCGAGAGGAGAAAGAUUUAUCGCUAUGAGACGGGCCCGCGUCGGAUUAGGUAGUUGGUGGGUAACGGCCUACCAAGCCUACGAUCCGUAGCUGAUCUGAGAGGAUGAUCAGCCACACUGGGACUGAGACACGGCCCAGACUCCUACGGGAGGCAGCAGUGGGGAAUCUUGGACAAUGGGCGCAAGCCUGAUCCAGCCAUGCCGCGUGAGUGAAGAAGGCCUUAGGGUUGUAAAG